Molecule: unclassified non-coding RNA, 342 nt
Filed under: soil metagenome
Description: partial contains 5.8S ribosomal RNA, internal transcribed spacer 2, and large subunit ribosomal RNA
Rfam family: 5.8S ribosomal RNA (bases 1-120)
Source: RNAcentral
GAUGAAGAACGUAGCGAAAUGCGAUAAGUAAUGCGAAUUGCAGAUUUCAGUGAGUCAUCGAAUCUUUGAACGCACAUUGCGCCCGCCAGCACUCUGGCGGGCAUGCCUGUUCGAGCGUCAUUUCAACCAUCAAGCCCCCAGGGGCUUGUGCUGGGGCCCUGCGGCUGCCCGCAGGCCCUGAAAACCAGUGGCGGGCUCGCUAGUCACACCGAGCGCAGUAGCACAUCUCGCUCAGGGCGUGCGGCGGGCUCCUGCCGUGAAACCCCCCACUGUAACCCCAAAGGUUGACCUCGGAUCAGGUAGGAAUACCCGCUGAACUUAAGCAUAUCAAUAAGCGGAGGA